UCAUUUAGAGGAAGUAAAAGUCGUAACAAGGUCUCCGUAGGUGAACCUGCGGAGGGAUCAUUACACAAAUAUGAAGGCGGGCUGGAACCUCUAGGGGUUACAGCCUUGCAGAAUUAUUCACCCUUGUCUUUUGCGUACUUCUUGUUUCCUUGGUGGGUUCGCCCACCACUAGGACAAACAUAAACCUUUGUAAUUGCAAUCAGCGUCAGUAACAAAUUAAUAAUUACAACUUUCAACAACGGAUCUCUUGGUUCUGGCAUCGAUGAAGAACGCAGCGAAAUGCGAUAAGUAGUGUGAAUUGCAGAAUUCAGUGAAUCAUCGAAUCUUUGAACGCACAUUGCGCCCUUUGGUAUUCCAAAGGGCAUGCCUGUUCGAGCGUCAUUUGUACCCUCAAGCUUUGCUUGGUGUUGGGCGUCUUGUCUCUAGCUUUGCUGGAGACUCGCCUUAAAGUAAUUGGCAGCCGGCCUACUGGUUUCGGAGCGCAGCACAAGUCGCACUCUCUAUCAGCAAAGGUCUAGCAUCCAUUAAGCCUUUUUUUCAACUUUUGACCUCGGAUCAGGUAGGGAUACCCGCUGAACUUAAGCAUAUCAAUAAG
RNAcentral lists this ribosomal RNA (595 nucleotides) under uncultured fungus. RNAcentral describes it as "eukaryotic LSU rRNA". The stretch from base 228 to 381 matches the Rfam family "5.8S ribosomal RNA". The record is from RNAcentral. Lineage: Eukaryota; Fungi.